This 497-nucleotide ribosomal RNA is filed under the name uncultured bacterium. RNAcentral's name for it is "partial 16S ribosomal RNA". It matches the Rfam family "Bacterial small subunit ribosomal RNA", at positions 28 to 507 of the family's 1533-position model. The record is from RNAcentral.
GAUGAACGCUGGCGGCGUGCCUAAUACAUGCCAGUCGAGCGAACGGACGAGAAGCUUGCUUCUCUGAUGUUAGCGGCGGACGGGUGAGUAACACGUGGAUAACCUACCUAUACGACUGGGAUAACUUCGGGAAACCGGAGCUAAUACCGGAUGAUAUUUUGAACCGCAUGGUUCAAAAGUGAAAGACGGUCUUGCUGUCACUUACAGAUGGAUCCGCGCUGCAUUAGCUAGUUGGUAAGGUAACGGCUUACCAAGGCAACGAUGCAUAGCCGACCUGAGAGGGUGAUCGGCCACACUGGAACUGAGACACGGUCCAGACUCCUACGGGAGGCAGCAGUAGGGAAUCUUCCGCAAUGGGCGGAAGCCUGACGGAGCAACGCCGCGUGAGUGAUGAAGGUCUUCGGAUCGUAAAACUCUGUUAUUAGGGAAGAACAUAUGUGUAAGUAACUGUGCACAUCUUGACGGUACCUAAUCAGAAAGCCACGGCUAACUACGUG